AUUGAACGCUGGCGGCAGGCCUAACACAUGCAAGUCGAGCGGAUGAAGGGAGCUUGCUCCUGGAUUCAGCGGCGGACGGGUGAGUAAUGCCUAGGAAUCUGCCUGGUAGUGGGGGAUAACGUCCGGAAACGGGCGCUAAUACCGCAUACGUCCUGAGGGAGAAAGUGGGGGAUCUUCGGACCUCACGCUAUCAGAUGAGCCUAGGUCGGAUUAGCUAGUUGGUGGGGUAAAGGCCUACCAAGGCGACGAUCCGUAACUGGUCUGAGAGGAUGAUCAGUCACACUAGAACUGGGACAGGGUCCAGACUCCUACGGGAGGCAGCAGUGGGGAAUAUUGGACAAUGGGCGAAAGCCUGAUCCAGCCAUGCCGCGUGUGUGAAGAAGGUCUUCGGAUUGUAAAGCACUUUAAGUUGGGAGGAAGGGCAGUAAGUUAAUACCUUGCUGUUUUGACGUUACCAACAGAAUAAGCACCGGCUAACUUCGUG
Molecule: ribosomal RNA, 484 nt
Filed under: uncultured bacterium
Lineage: Bacteria
Description: partial 16S ribosomal RNA
Rfam family: Bacterial small subunit ribosomal RNA
Source: RNAcentral